AGAGUUUGAUCAUGGCUCAGAGCGAACGCUGGCGGCGUGCUUAACACAUGCAAGUCGAGUGCGCAGUUUCCCGCCGCAAGGCGGGGGAUGGGCGCACGGCGCACGGGUGCGUAACACGUGGGUANCNGCCCUUCGAUGGGGGACAACCCCGCGAAAGCGGGGCUAAUACCGCAUGACAUUCCGUUGAUUUCGAUCGCCGGAAUCAAAGCCCGCAAGGGCGUCGGAGGAGGGGCCCGCGCCCGAUUAGCUUGUUGGUGAGGUAAUGGCUCACCAAGGCUAUGAUCGGUAGCCGGUCUAAGAGGACGAUCGGCCACACUGGAACUGAGACACGGUCCAGACUCCUACGGGAGGCAGCAGUGGGGAAUCUUGCGCAAUGGGCGAAAGCCUGACGCAGCGACGCCGCGUGGGGGAUGAAGCCCUUCGGGGUGUAAACCCCUUUCGACCCGGACGAAUGGCCCGCAAGGGAAUUGACGGUACGGGUAGAAGAAGCCCCGGCUAACUACGUGCCAGCAGCCGCGGUAAAACGUAGGGGGCCAGCGUUGCUCGGUAUUACUGGGCGUAAAGGGUUCGUAGGCGGUGCGGCAAGUCGGAAGUGAAAUCUCAGGGCUUAACUCUGAGGCUGCUUCCGAAACUGCCGCGCUCGAGUGCGGGAGAGGCGAGUGGAAUUGCAGGUGUAGCGGUGAAAUGCGUAGAUAUCUGCAGGAACACCCGUGGCGAAGGCGGCUCGCUGGACCGCAACUGACGCUGAGGAACGAAAGCUAGGGGAGCAAACAGGAUUAGAUACCCUGGUAGUCCUAGCCCUAAACCAUCAGGACUUGGGGUGCAUCCCGUUUGGGGUGCGUCCCGGAGCUAACGCGUUAAGUCCUGCGCCUGGGGAGUACGGUCGCAAGGCUGAAACUCAAAUGAAUUGACGGG
RNAcentral lists this ribosomal RNA (915 nucleotides) under uncultured bacterium. RNAcentral describes it as "bacterial SSU rRNA". It matches the Rfam family "Bacterial small subunit ribosomal RNA", at positions 8 to 917 of the family's 1533-position model. The record is from RNAcentral.